Molecule: non-coding RNA, 875 nt
Organism: Cicer arietinum (chickpea)
Lineage: Eukaryota; Viridiplantae; Streptophyta; Magnoliopsida; Fabales; Fabaceae
Source: RefSeq, a predicted model, not a curated record
AGGUGGAAAAUGCAGUCAUAUAUGGCUCAACGAGAAAGAAUUGGCGACUACCCAAUUGCAUGUUCUCUUAAAUUGUAUCGAGAUUAAGCAAUUCAUUGAGUGACAAAGAAUCACAAACUCAAGAUACAAAACCCUAACUAGUAUGAGUUGGCAAGAGGACUCUUGAGACUAGCAAAGUCAUGGCCUAUUUAUAAUGUGAAUAGAUACAAAUUCAACAUAACUUCUUGGGGUUAAUGCAAAAUAACAUAUAAUAGUGAGGUAUGUGUUAGUGGAACUAGUCAAGGUGAAACCUCAAAUUAUUGUUAUGGUGUUGUUACAGAUAUUGUAGAAUUUGAAUAGCGAAGUCAAGCAACACAAGAGCUAAUUUUAUUUUACUGUGAUUGGUUCGACCCUUCAAGUCAUGGGAUGAGAAUACAUAAUUAGUACAUACCUUAGAAGUUGCUUGGUUGGUGGUUAUGAAGACGAAGCCGAGAGGGGUUGUUGAUCAUAGACAUACCUUAGAAGUUGCUUUUCAAGUGCAAGAGUCAGAAGCUAAUGCAACAAUUGAAGAUGACCCAAUUGAUCACCUAUAAAAUGAUGAAGUUUAUGGUGAAUAGGUUAAUUUGUUUGUGAUGCAAGAUGAUGAGGAUGAAGAAGAUGAUUCUAGUGUCGAUGGUGAAUAUGAAGAUCAAAAGGAAGAUGGUUCUAUCGAAUAGUAUUUGUUAGCUCUUUAUCAAUGAUUUGUUUGAUUUAACAUUUGUAGUAUUGAAAAAGGAAUUGAUAGGUUUCAUAAAAGGGAAUUGGUUGUUUUUCCCGUUUAUAUGACAAAAUUAGGUGUUUUGAAUAUUUUCUUCAUAUGGUUAUUUUUUAUUAGAAGCAUAGAUAGUGUAACAUAA